This 539-nucleotide transfer RNA is filed under the name uncultured Prochlorococcus sp. RNAcentral describes it as "partial 16S-23S ribosomal RNA intergenic spacer". The stretch from base 212 to 284 matches the Rfam family "tRNA". Lineage: Bacteria; Bacillati; Cyanobacteriota; Cyanophyceae; Synechococcales; Prochlorococcaceae. The record is from RNAcentral.
CAGGGAGACAACAAAAUGUUUAAUAUUAUUAUUUUGUCACCUUAGGUCGAUCGGUACCUCACGUUCUUAAUUUAUUAAGAAUUUCAUUUCUUAAGUUUUUCUAGGUCACACCCAUUAUUUUUCCUGGGCCAUUAGCUCAGGUGGUUAGAGCGCACCCCUGAUAAGGGUGAGGUCCCUGGUUCAAGUCCAGGAUGGCCCAUAUCUCUAUGUUGGGGGUAUAGCUCAGUUGGUAGAGCGCCUGCUUUGCAAGCAGGAUGUCAGCGGUUCGAGUCCGCUUACCUCCACUGAUUACCACCUCUUCCAUAAUUUGUAGAAAGGAAAUUUUUUGAGUUGUGAUCAAAUUCUGAACGAAUCUAGCUUCCUAAUGAAAUCAUUAAGAUGCUGGACUCAUUGAAUUAAUUUCAUUGUUUUCAGAGAACCUUGACAACUGCAUAGAUUAUUUUAAAGACAAUAAGCAUCUUUAAUGAUGCAGAUUUAUUAUUUGUGCGAAUGCAUUAAUAACAAUUCUAUUAAGCUGAUGCUUCAAUUUUGAAGUUAUU